RNAcentral lists this ribosomal RNA (425 nucleotides) under uncultured bacterium. RNAcentral's name for it is "partial 16S ribosomal RNA". It matches the Rfam family "Bacterial small subunit ribosomal RNA", at positions 354 to 796 of the family's 1533-position model. The record is from RNAcentral.
GUAGGGAAUCUUGCGCAAUGGGCGAAAGCCUGACGCAGCCAUGCCGCGUGAAUGAUGAAGGUCUUAGGAUUGUAAAAUUCUUUCACCGGGGACGAUAAUGACGGUACCCGGAGAAGAAGCUCCGGCUAACUUCGUGCCAGCAGCCGCGGUAAUACGAAGGGGGCUAGCGUUGCUCGGAAUUACUGGGCGUAAAGGGCGCGUAGGCGGAUAUUUAAGUCGGGGGUGAAAGACCGGGGCUCAACCUCGGAAUAGCCUUCGAUACUGGAUAUCUUUAGUACGGGAGAGGUGUGUGGAACUCCGAGUGUAGAGGUGAAAUUCGUAGAUAUUCGGAAGAACACCAGUGGCGAAGGCGACACACUGGCCCGUUACUGACGCUGAGGCGCGAAAGCGUGGGGAGCAAACAGGAUUAGAAACCCGGGUAGUCC